This 171-nucleotide non-coding RNA is filed under the name Tetraselmis sp. GSL018. The record is from RNAcentral. Lineage: Eukaryota; Viridiplantae; Chlorophyta; Chlorodendrophyceae; Chlorodendrales; Chlorodendraceae.
GCUCAUAUAACGAACUCACAACUAAAGCUGAAAGAAAUUGAGUUGAGCUUCCAAUGCGAAUGAGAAUGUUUCAAAUCAUUUGUGAUUGACACUCUUUCUUCUUUUCUUUUUCUUUUGCUUUUGGUUCUGUUUUUCGAACGCACUGGGUUGUUUGCGGCAACCGUAAGAAAA